AAAGUCUGUGCGAAAUUUGUAAAUCACCCCCCGCUACCACGCGAACGUCAACGUUGCUUGUUUGACAGACAAGAUUGUCUGGCCGCUGUGCACUCACACAGCCGUGCGCGCUCACUUCCGCUGAAAAGGAAAGCUCAUUCAGUGUUCGCCAACGUGAGGAGCGGUCGUGCGGUGGAAGAAGUUCCACGCAAACCGUGUGCGCAGUUGUUCUGCUCCGCGAAAAGUGCUCGCCCCGCCGUAAAGUUGUGAAGUCCCGCAGGAGGACGCCCGAAGUUAACGUCCUCAGAAGCAUCUACCGUGGCUGGCCCUCGUCGGGAAGAAAAACCGGCACCGUCCGCCGGCGAGGGCCAAAAAUGACGGACGACGAUAUUUGCACCGAAGGGACGAAUCGGCACCGGAGCCGGCCUGCUGCCUUGGAUCACUGGACGAAACACGCCGCGCGCGCGGCAUGUUGGGAGUGAACAAUCUCCGCAAGAUCAACGCAGGCGGGGAGAAAGUUUGGACGACGGCGGAGGCACGUGGAAUCCGUUUGCUCCGCGGCGGUGCUCGUAAGUGGAAAUGUUGGCCGGUCGGGCCUAGGUGAAGAAUCCCGCGCGGACGCGGGCAAAGGGCGGCUCGCCACGCGGCAAUUGGCGAUCGUAGGUUGAGCAAGUGAGAGAGCAAGAGGAGGAGGCAAAGUGAGAAGAGCCGGGGAAGGAAAAAGAAGGAGGAAGAAGAAAACGGAAAAAUGCUAGAUGCCGAAAGGGCGCGUGGAGCACGAAAGAAGAAGAAAAGAGAGAGCAAGAAGAAGAGCAUCAGGAAGAUGUUGUACGCACACACACACACACACACUCACACUCACACCAUCAAUCGGUUCAAUACACAUGUUAAAAGACGAA
Molecule: long non-coding RNA, 878 nt
Organism: Culex quinquefasciatus (southern house mosquito)
Lineage: Eukaryota; Metazoa; Arthropoda; Insecta; Diptera; Culicidae
Exons: 2
Source: RefSeq, a predicted model, not a curated record